Molecule: ribosomal RNA, 1435 nt
Filed under: uncultured organism
Description: SSU rRNA
Rfam family: Bacterial small subunit ribosomal RNA
Source: RNAcentral
UCUACAGGCUUAACACAUGCAAGUCGAGGGGCAGCAUGGUCUUAUCUUGCUAAGGCCGAUGGCGACCGGCGCACGGGUGAGUAACACGUAUCCAACCUGCCGUCUACUCUUGGACAGCCUUCUGAAAGGAAGAUUAAUACAAGAUGGCAUCAUGAGUCCGCAUGUUCACAUGAUUAAAGGUAUUCCGGUAGACGAUGGGGAUGCGUUCCAUUAGAUAGUAGGCGGGGUAACGGCCCACCUAGUCUUCGAUGGAUAGGGGUUCUGAGAGGAAGGUCCCCCACAUUGGAACUGAGACACGGUCCAAACUCCUACGGGAGGCAGCAGUGAGGAAUAUUGGUCAAUGGGCGAGAGCCUGAACCAGCCAAGUAGCGUGAAGGAUGACUGCCCUAUGGGUUGUAAACUUCUUUUAUAAAGGAAUAAAGUCGGGUAUGGAUACCCGUUUGCAUGUACUUUAUGAAUAAGGAUCGGCUAACUCCGUGCCAGCAGCCGCGGUAAUACGGAGGAUCCGAGCGUUAUCCGGAUUUAUUGGGUUUAAAGGGAGCGUAGAUGGAUGUUUAAGUCAGUUGUGAAAGUUUGCGGCUCAACCGUAAAAUUGCAGUUGAUACUGGAUAUCUUGAGUGCAGUUGAGGCAGGCGGAAUUCGUGGUGUAGCGGUGAAAUGCUUAGAUAUCACGAAGAACUCCGAUUGCGAAGGCAGCCUGCUAAGCUGCAACUGACAUUGAGGCUCGAAAGUGUGGGUAUCAAACAGGAUUAGAUACCCUGGUAGUCCACACGGUAAACGAUGAAUACUCGCUGUUUGCGAUAUACUGCAAGCGGCCAAGCGAAAGCGUUAAGUAUUCCACCUGGGGAGUACGCCGGCAACGGUGAAACUCAAAGGAAUUGACGGGGGCCCGCACAAGCGGAGGAACAUGUGGUUUAAUUCGAUGAUACGCGAGGAACCUUACCCGGGCUUAAAUUGCAGAUGAAUUACGGUGAAAGCCGUAAGCCGCAAGGCAUCUGUGGAGGUGCUGCAUGGUUGUCGUCAGCUCGUGCCGUGAGGUGUCGGCUUAAGUGCCAUAACGAGCGCAACCCUUGUUGUCAGUUACUAACAGGUUCCGCUGAGGACUCUGACAAGACUGCCAUCGUAAGAUGUGAGGAAGGUGGGGAUGACGUCAAAUCAGCACGGCCCUUACGUCCGGGGCUACACACGUGUUACAAUGGGGGGUACAGAGGGCCGCUACCACGCGAGUGGAUGCCAAUCCCCAAAACCUCUCUCAGUUCGGACUGGAGUCUGCAACCCGACUCCACGAAGCUGGAUUCGCUAGUAAUCGCGCAUCAGCCACGGCGCGGUGAAUACGUUCCCGGGCCUUGUACACACCGCCCGUCAAGCCAUGGGAGCCGGGGGUACCUGAAGUGCGUAACCGCGAGGAGCGCCCUAGGGUAAAACUGGUGACUGG